Molecule: ribosomal RNA, 446 nt
Filed under: uncultured Bacteroidota bacterium
Lineage: Bacteria; Pseudomonadati; Bacteroidota
Description: bacterial SSU rRNA
Rfam family: Bacterial small subunit ribosomal RNA
Source: RNAcentral
GUCGAGGGCAGCACAAAGAUAGUUUACUAUUUUGGUGGCGACCGGCGCACGGGUGAGUAACGCGUAUGCAACCUACCUUAUACAGGAGUAUAGCUCGAAGAAAUUCGGAUUAAUCCUCCAUAGUAUUUUCUAAUGGCAUCAUUUGGAAAAUUAAAGCUUUGGCGGUAUAAGAUGGGCAUGCGUCCUAUUAGCUAGAUGGUAAGGUAACGGCUUACCAUGGCAACGAUAGGUAGGGGGCCUGAGAGGGUGAUCCCCCACACUGGUACUGAGACACGGACCAGACUCCUACGGGAGGCAGCAGUGAGGAAUAUUGGGCAAUGGAGGCAACUCUGACCCAGCCAUGCCGCGUGCAGGAAGAAUGCCCUAUGGGUUGUAAACUGCUUUUAUUUAGGAAUAAACCCUUCUACGUGUAGAAGGCUGAAUGUACUAAACGAAAAGCACCGGCU